GGUUAAGCGACUAAGCGUACACGGUGGAUGCCCUGGCAGUCAGAGGCGAUGAAGGACGUGCUAAUCUGCGAAAAGCGUCGGUAAGGUGAUAUGAACCGUUAUAACCGGCGAUGUCCGAAUGGGGAAACCCAGUGCAAUUCGUUGCACUAUCGUUAACUGAAUACAUAGGUUAACGAGGCGAACCGGGGGAACUGAAACAUCUAAGUACCCCGAGGAAAAGAAAUCAACCGAGAUUCCCCCAGUAGCGGCGAGCGAACGGGGAGCAGCCCAGAGUCUGAAUCAGCUUGUGUGUUAGUGGAACGGUCUGGAAAGUCCGACGGUACAGGGUGAUAGUCCCGUACACCAAAAUGCACAGGUUGUGAACUCGAAGAGUAGGGCGGGACACGUGGUAUCCUGUCUGAAUAUGGGGGGACCAUCCUCCAAGGCUAAAUACUCCUGACUGACCGAUAGUGAACCAGUACCGUGAGGGAAAGGCGAAAAGAACCCCGGCGAGGGGAGUGAAAAAGAACCUGAAACCGUGUACGUACAAGCAGUGGGAGCACCUUCGGGUGUGACUGCGUACCUUUUGUAUAAUGGGUCAGCGACUUAUAUUCUGUAGCAAGGUUAACCGUAUAGGGGAGCCGCAGGGAAACCGAGUCUUAACUGGGCGUUAAGUUGCAGGGUAUAGACCCGAAACCCGGUGAUCUAGCCAUGGGCAGGUUGAAGGUUGGGUAACACUAACUGGAGGACCGAACCGACUAAUGUUGAAAAAUUAGCGGAUGACUUGUGGCUGGGGGUGAAAGGCCAAUCAAACCGGGAGAUAGCUGGUUCUCCCCGAAAGCUAUUUAGGUAGCGCCUCGUGAACUCAUCUUCGGGGGUAGAGCACUGUUUCGGCUAGGGGGUCAUCCCGACUUACCAACCCGAUGCAAACUACGAAUACCGAAGAAUGUUAUCACGGGAGACACACGGCGGGUGCUAACGUCCGUCGUGAAGAGGGAAACAACCCAGACCGCCAGCUAAGGUCCCAAAGUCAUGGUUAAGUGGGAAACGAUGUGGGAAGGCACAGACAGCCAGGAUGUUGGCUUAGAAGCAGCCAUCAUUUAAAGAAAGCGUAAUAGCUCACUGGUCGAGUCGGCCUGCGCGGAAGAUGUAACGGGGCUAAACCAUGCACCGAAGCUGCGGCAGCGACACUAUGUGUUGUUGGGUAGGGGAGCGUUCUGUAAGCCUGCGAAGGUGACCUGUGAGGGUUGCUGGAGGUAUCAGAAGUGCGAAUGCUGACAUAAGUAACGAUAAAGCGGGUGAAAAGCCCGCUCGCCGGAAGACCAAGGGUUCCUGUCCAACGUUAAUCGGGGCAGGGUGAGUCGACCCCUAAGGCGAGGCCGAAAGGCGUAGUCGAUGGGAAACAGGUUAAUAUUCCUGUACUUGGUGUUACUGCGAAGGGGGGACGGAGAAGGCUAUGUUAGCCGGGCGACGGUUGUCCCGGUUUAAGCAUGUAGGCUGAUUGUCCAGGCAAAUCCGGAUAAUCAAGGCUGAGGUGUGAUGACGAGGCACUACGGUGCUGAAGUAACAAAUGCCCUGCUUCCAGGAAAAGCCUCUAAGCAUCAGGUAACAUCAAAUCGUACCCCAAACCGACACAGGUGGUCAGGUAGAGAAUACCAAGGCGCUUGAGAGAACUCGGGUGAAGGAACUAGGCAAAAUGGUGCCGUAACUUCGGGAGAAGGCACGCUGGUGUGUAGGUGAAGUCCCUGCGGAUGGAGCUGAGACCAGUCGAAGAUACCAGCUGGCUGCAACUGUUUAUUAAAAACACAGCACUGUGCAAACACGAAAGUGGACGUAUACGGUGUGACGCCUGCCCGGUGCCGGAAGGUUAAUUGAUGGGGUUAUCCGUAAGGAGAAGCUCUUGAUCGAAGCCCCGGUAAACGGCGGCCGUAACUAUAACGGUCCUAAGGUAGCGAAAUUCCUUGUCGGGUAAGUUCCGACCUGCACGAAUGGCGUAAUGAUGGCCAGGCUGUCUCCACCCGAGACUCAGUGAAAUUGAACUCGCUGUGAAGAUGCAGUGUACCCGCGGCAAGACGGAAAGACCCCGUGAACCUUUACUAUAGCUUGACACUGAACAUUGAGCCUUGAUGUGUAGGAUAGGUGGGAGGCUUUGAAGCGUGGACGCCAGUCUGCGUGGAGCCAACCUUGAAAUACCACCCUUUAAUGUUUGAUGUUCUAACGUUGGCCCCUUACCGGGGUUGCGGACAGUGUCUGGUGGGUAGUUUGACUGGGGCGGUCUCCUCCCAAAGCGUAACGGAGGAGCACGAAGGUUAGCUAAUCCUGGUCGGACAUCAGGAGGUUAGUGCAAUGGCAUAAGCUAGCUUGACUGCGAGCGUGACGGCGCGAGCAGGUGCGAAAGCAGGUCAUAGUGAUCCGGUGGUUCUGAAUGGAAGGGCCAUCGCUCAACGGAUAAAAGGUACUCCGGGGAUAACAGGCUGAUACCGCCCAAGAGUUCAUAUCGACGGCGGUGUUUGGCACCUCGAUGUCGGCUCAUCACAUCCUGGGGCUGAAGUAGGUCCCAAGGGUAUGGCUGUUCGCCAUUUAAAGUGGUACGCGAGCUGGGUUUAGAACGUCGUGAGACAGUUCGGUCCCUAUCUGCCGUGGGCGCUGGAGAAUUGAGGGGGGCUGCUCCUAGUACGAGAGGACCGGAGUGGACGCAUCACUGGUGUUCGGGUUGUCAUGCCAAUGGCACUGCCCGGUAGCUAAAUGCGGAAGAGAUAAGUGCUGAAAGCAUCUAAGCACGAAACUUGCCCCGAGAUGAGUUCGCCCUGAGACUUUAAGUCGCAUGAAGGAACGUUAAAGACGAUGACGUUGAUAGGCCGG
This 2841-nucleotide ribosomal RNA is filed under the name Klebsiella pneumoniae. RNAcentral's name for it is "partial 23S ribosomal RNA". It matches the Rfam family "Bacterial large subunit ribosomal RNA". The record is from RNAcentral. Lineage: Bacteria; Pseudomonadati; Pseudomonadota; Gammaproteobacteria; Enterobacterales; Enterobacteriaceae.